GCGGUAGCUCAGUGGUAGGGCAUCCGCUUGGCAAACAAAAGAUCAUAGGUUCAGUCCCCAGCAUAUCCA
RNAcentral lists this transfer RNA (69 nucleotides) under Sphaerodactylus townsendi. Its description in RNAcentral is "tRNA-Ala". Lineage: Eukaryota; Metazoa; Chordata; Lepidosauria; Squamata; Sphaerodactylidae. The record is from RNAcentral.